This is a non-coding RNA of Cyanistes caeruleus (blue tit), 557 nucleotides long. NCBI's taxonomy places the organism in Eukaryota, Metazoa, Chordata, Aves, Passeriformes, Paridae. The record is from RefSeq and is a predicted model, not a curated record.
AAAGGAAUUAAUUUUCUUCUUCAGAGGCUACGUAGAGGGAAAUAUGUGUUAUUAUGGUAAAGGAAAAGGCUAUUUGCAAUGAAUGGAUAAGCUCUGUCUGUCAGCAUAAAACAUUCAUAGAAUAGGUGUUGAAGCCAAGGCAGAUUAUUCCUAGGGGGCCAUAGUCCUUUAUUCAGUGGGGUUUUUACCCAGUUUCUAGUCUGUUCACAAAAUAACUUCCCUUAUAUUUCACAGGAAAUGUGGUGAAUGGCAGAUGACAGGCCAGUCACUUGACUGAUGCCAGCUGACGUCUGUACAUUAAGCCAAACCAACCUAUCUUUGGCCCUAGCAGAAUGGGAUGGCAUUGAUCAGAAGAUGGAAGAUACCACAGCCAGAAGAGUCCAUCACUGGCUACAGCAUGGCACAGCAGACCCAAGUAGGAAUGCUGCUGUUGAAUCACACCCGGGUGAUCAGCAAUGCUCGACAGAAUAGCUGUUUGUUUGAAAGACAGACACAGGCAUCAUCCAGCUACACUUUCAAAAGGAAGCAAAUACAGCACUGUUUGAAAAAUCUCAAAA